GUGGGGAAUCUUCCGCAAUGGACGAAAGUCUGACGGAGCAACGCCGCGUGAGUGAUGAAGGCCUUCGGGUCGUAAAGCUCUGUCAUCGGGGACGAACGGCCUCAGCAGGUAAUGGCUGGGGAUUGACGGUACCCGAGAAGGAAGCCACGGCUAACUACGUGCCAGCAGCCGCGGUAAUACGUAGGUGGCAAGCGUUGUCCGGAAUUAUUGGGCGUAAAGCGCGCGCAGGUGGGAUCUUAAGUCCAUUUUGAAAGUUCGGAGCUCAACUCCGUGAUGGGAUGGAAACUGGGAUUCUUGAGUACCGGAGAGGAAAGCGGAAUUCCCCGUGUAGCGGUGAAAUGCGUAGAUAUGGGGAGGAACACCAGUGGCGAAGGCGGCUUUCUGGACGGUGUCUGACACUGAGGCGCGAAAGCCAGGGGAGCGAACGGGAUUAGAAACCCCUGUAGUCC
This 449-nucleotide ribosomal RNA is filed under the name uncultured bacterium. RNAcentral describes it as "partial 16S ribosomal RNA". It matches the Rfam family "Bacterial small subunit ribosomal RNA", at positions 354 to 796 of the family's 1533-position model. The record is from RNAcentral.